UGCACCUCUCUGCUUCUCAGUUUCAACAGUUGCUGGUGUGCUAGAGUUGAUAGGUAUGUCAUCAGCCUCAAUGAUCACUGGGUUCAUGACAAGUGCCUCAGAAGGAAGAGAUUCAGUUCCUAUGGUCAAGUCAACUGUCUUUGAAGGUGGAAGAGUUGAUGGAACUUCCAAAGGUGUCACUCUUGGUUCAAAUUCCGUUCCAGUUACAUACAUAACAUUCGACUGAGAAACCAAUGAAUUGAUUUGAUUGGGCAGGCAUCCAGAUCGUUCAGGAGGAAAAACUGUCGGCCCUUCAGAGGUUUUAGAAUUCAAACAACUUGUUACCAAGUCAGCCACAGUGAUUAGCUCACCAGUUUGCUUAUUUUGAAGAGGCCCAGAUUCCUUGGAGUCAGAAGGAAGAGAUUCAGCCUCGGUAAUCACUGAGUUCAUGACAGGUGCCUCAGAAGGAAGAUAUUCAGUUCCUAUGGUCAAGUCAACAAUCUUUGACGGUGGUAGAGUUGAUGGAACUUCCAAAGGUGUCUCUCUUGGUUCAGAUUCAGUUUCAGNNNNNNNNNNNNNNNNNNNNUGAAUCAAUUUGAUUGGGCAGGCAUCCAGAUCCUUCAGGAGGAAAAACUGUAAGCCCAUCAGAGGUUUUAGAAUUCAAACCACUUGUUACCAAGUCAGCCACAGUGAUUAGCUCACCAGUUUGCUUAUUUUGAAGAGGCCCAGAUUCCCUGGAUUCAGAAGGAAGAGAUUCAGCCUCAAUGAUCACUGAGUUCAUGACAGGUGCCUCAGAAGGAAGAGACUCAGAUUCAGUUCCUAUGGUCAAGUCAACUGUCUUUGAAGGUGGAAGAGUUGAUGGAACUUCCAAAGGUGUCUCUCUUGGUUCAGAUUCAGUUUCAGUUACAUACAUGACAUUGGACUGAGAAACCAACGAAUCGAUUUGAUUUGGCAGGCAUCCAGAUCCUUCAGGAGGAUAAACUGUCGGCCCUUCAGAGGUUUUCGAAUUCAACCCACUUGUUACCAAGUCAGCCACAGUGAUCAGCUCACCAGUUUGCUUAUUUUGAAAAGGCCCAGAUUCCCUGGAGUCAUAUAUUCUGUUUCGCAAACCAUCAUGAGCUUCAUCC
This 1106-nucleotide long non-coding RNA is filed under the name Musa acuminata (dwarf banana). RNAcentral's name for it is "long non-coding RNA (MACU_LNC000167)". The record is from RNAcentral. Lineage: Eukaryota; Viridiplantae; Streptophyta; Magnoliopsida; Zingiberales; Musaceae.